This is a non-coding RNA of Delphinapterus leucas (beluga whale), 800 nucleotides long. NCBI's taxonomy places the organism in Eukaryota, Metazoa, Chordata, Mammalia, Artiodactyla, Monodontidae. The record is from RefSeq and is a predicted model, not a curated record.
UGGCGGUACGAGGGCUGCAGCACAGCUAGCAGAGCCGCAGUCCAGACCGCAGCGCGUGCCCGAAGCUCUCCGCCUUCCCCUGCCCGUCAGCCCGAGGCAGCCCGAGCCCAGCCCCUGGCCCCAGCAGCAGCCCCGAGAGCACCCCAGUAGCAGCGUCAUGGCCGGGUGGAACGCCUACAAAGACAAGCUCAUGGCGGAAGGGACCUGUCAGGACGUGGCCAUUGUGGGCCAUAAGAACUUGCCCUCCAUCUGGGCAGCCGUUCCUGGAAAAAACUUCGUCAACAUCACACCAGCUGAGGUUGGAGCCCUGGUUGGCAAAGACCGGUCAAGUUUUUACGUGAAUGGGCUAACGCUUGGGGGCCAGAAAUGGUCUGUGAUCCAGGACUCACUGCUGCAGGACGGGAAAUUUACCAUGGAUCUUUGUACCAAGAGCACCUGCGGAGCCGCCACCUUCAAUAUCAUUGUUACCCUGAAUGCCAAGACGCUAGCCCUGCUGAUGGGCAAAGAAGGUGUACAGGAUGGUAUGAUCAACAAGAAAUGUUAUGAAAUGGCCUCCCACCUGCGGCGUUCCCAAUACUGACCUCGUCUGUCCCCCCCCGCCCCCAACUCCCCACUGCUUUUGCACGCCUCUACAUCCCACACACACGUACACCAUUUUUAUUCUGGGGGCCAUUACCCCACAACCCUUAUUGCUGCCAAAACCACAUGGGCUGGGGACCUGGGCAGGAAGGACAGACACGCUUCCCCCAACCCAUGCCCCUCCUGUGUGUGGUUUGAAAACUUUUCUGUUUUGGGCUUUU